Molecule: ribosomal RNA, 492 nt
Filed under: uncultured bacterium
Lineage: Bacteria
Description: partial 16S ribosomal RNA
Rfam family: Bacterial small subunit ribosomal RNA
Source: RNAcentral
AGUGAACGCUGGCGGCAGGCCUAACACAUGCAAGUCGAACGGCAGCACAGUAAGCUCUUGCUCUUACGGGUGGCGAGUGGCGGACGGGUAAGGAAUACAUCAGCAUCUACUUUUUCUUGGGUGAUAACGUAGGACAACUUACGCUAAUAGAUCAUACGACCUACCGGUGAGAUCAAGGGUUAUUCGCGCUUUUCGUGUUAGAUAGAGCCGAUGUCGGGUUAGCUAGUUGGCGGGGUAAAGGCACACCAAGGCAACGAUGCGUAGCCGAUCUGAGAGGAUGAUCGGCCACACUGGAACUGAGACACGGUCCAGACUCCUACGGGAGGCAGCAGUAGGGAAUAUUGGACAAUGGGCGAAAGCCUGAUGCAGCCACACCGCGUGAGUGAAGAAGGUCUUCGGGUCGUAAAGCUCUGUUGUUGGGAAAGAAAAUCAGCAUGUGUAAACGCGGCUAUCUUGACGGUACCUAAUGAAUAAGCAACGGCUAACUUCGUG